This 482-nucleotide ribosomal RNA is filed under the name uncultured bacterium. Its description in RNAcentral is "partial 16S ribosomal RNA". It matches the Rfam family "Bacterial small subunit ribosomal RNA", at positions 30 to 507 of the family's 1533-position model. The record is from RNAcentral.
AUUGAACGCUGGCGGCAUGCCUUACACAUGCAAGUCGAACGGUAACGGGCCUUCGGGUGCCGACGAGUGGGGAACGGGUGCGUAAUACAUCGGAACGUGCCCGAUCGUGGGGGAUAACGAGGCGAAAGCUUUGCUAAUACCGCAUACGAUCUACGGAUGAAAGCCGGGGACCGCAAGGCCUUGCGCGGACGGAGCGGCCGAUGGCAGAUUAGGUAGUUGGUGGGAUAAAAGCUUACCAAGCCGACGAUCUGUAGCUGGUCUGAGAGGAUGAUCAGCCACACUGGGACUGAGACACGGCCCAGACUCCUACGGGAGGCAGCAGUGGGGAAUUUUGGACAAUGGGCGCAAGCCUGAUCCAGCCAUGCCGCGUGCAGGAUGAAGGCCUUCGGGUUGUAAACUGCUUUUGUACGGAACGAAAAGCCUUCUUUUAAUACAGGAGGGUCAUGACGGUACCGUAAGAAUAAGCACCGGCUAACUACGUG